RNAcentral lists this ribosomal RNA (113 nucleotides) under Castor canadensis (American beaver). The record is from RNAcentral. Lineage: Eukaryota; Metazoa; Chordata; Mammalia; Rodentia; Castoridae.
GUCUAUGGCCAUUCCAUCCUGAACGUGCCAGAUCCUCUAUCUUGGAAUCUAAGCAGGAUCAGGCUUGGUUAGUACUUGGAUAGGAAAAGGAAUGCAUUCAGGUGUCAAAGGCU